This 233-nucleotide long non-coding RNA is filed under the name Vitis vinifera (wine grape). RNAcentral describes it as "long non-coding RNA (VVIN_LNC001052)". The record is from RNAcentral. Lineage: Eukaryota; Viridiplantae; Streptophyta; Magnoliopsida; Vitales; Vitaceae.
ACCAAGUUAUUUAAGUUCUCCCAACUUGAGAGAAGAAGAACAAUGAUUAGGAAAGGAAAGUCCAAGAACAAGAAAUAUGGAUACAAUUCCUACUUAGCAUAGGAGUCCUAAUUCAAGUAAUAAAAAAGAAUAUUAGAAAAUCUCAUGAUGGAUAAUUUAUUUGAAGAUGGUUGCCGCAAUUAUCUAAAGUCUCUCAUUUAAAAUAUUAAGUAGGAACGGGUCAUAGGCAAGCC